ACCAGGGCGAGGAGGGGGGCUUUGCUGGGAUCUCCCCCGGCGGAACUAGAAUGGGACUAUGAGGGAGGUCACCGAACGGAGGAGGGAGGCUGGGUCCUGGAGGAGGUCGACGGCCGAGGUUCUCCCAGGGCGGCGGCACGCGGCAGAGCUGCUUUCGACAGAGAAUGGGGAAGGAGUGGGCGCCAGCGACGGGUCGGGAUUAUGUGGACAGACGGAUGCGGUUAUGUUGACGUGAAGGUCAAUAUCUUGAAUAUUUGGUCUCUGUAGGUUUCCGUGUUUCCCCCCAAUCCCCAAAUUAUUAGGGUUUGCAGGGAGGUAGAGUUAUUCAUGUACUGCAAAAGAGUAAACUCCGACGUAGGAGAGUUGAGGCUGGAGUUGUUCCUAGGGUUGUUGUGUGGUUCAGAUUCAUUUUGAUUGCUAUCAGUACAAUUUGUAUCUAAGCCUGGGGACAGUUUGGUUGCAAAUUGAAGUUUCAGUUUGGAUUCUCUAUUGUUUUGCUUUGAACUA
Long non-coding RNA from Lolium rigidum, 507 nucleotides. RefSeq lists it as uncharacterized. NCBI's taxonomy places the organism in Eukaryota, Viridiplantae, Streptophyta, Magnoliopsida, Poales, Poaceae. The transcript has 2 exons. The record is from RefSeq and is a predicted model, not a curated record.